GACGAACGCUGGCGGCGUGCUUAACACAUGCAAGUCGAACGGAAAGGCCCUGCUUUUGUGGGGUGCUCGAGUGGCGAACGGGUGAGUAACACGUGAGUAACCUGCCCUUGACUUUGGGAUAACUUCAGGAAACUGGGGCUAAUACCGGAUAGGAGCUCCUGCUGCAUGGUGGGGGUUGGAAAGUUUCGGCGGUUGGGGAUGGACUCGCGGCUUAUCAGCUUGUUGGUGGGGUAGUGGCUUACCAAGGCUUUGACGGGUAGCCGGCCUGAGAGGGUGACCGGCAUGAGUGGGGCAGCAGACCGGCCAGGACUCGGAGGGGAGGAGGCGGUGGGGAUGAUGGCAACAGGGGAGGAAGCCUGAUGCACCAGGGCGGUGUGGGGGAUGACGGCCUCUGGGUAGUAGGCCGCUGUCGCGGGGGAGGGAGGGUGGGUGAGGGUAAGGGGGAAAGAAGCCCAGGCGAAGUCGGGGACAGCGGGCCGCGGUAAUAAGCGGAAGACAAACGUCAGAAC
This 509-nucleotide ribosomal RNA is filed under the name uncultured bacterium. RNAcentral's name for it is "partial 16S ribosomal RNA". It matches the Rfam family "Bacterial small subunit ribosomal RNA", at positions 33 to 541 of the family's 1533-position model. The record is from RNAcentral.